CCUACGGGUGGCAGCAGUGGGGAAUAUUGCACAAUGGGGGAAACCCUGAUGCAGCGACGCCGCGUGAGUGAAGAAGUAAUUCGUUAUGUAAAGCUCUAUCAGCAGGGACGAAAAUGACGGUACCUGAGUAAGAAGCCCCGGCUAACUACGUGCCAGCAGCCGCGGUCAUACGUAGGGGGCAAGCGGUAUCCGGAUUUACUGGGUGGAAAGGGAGCGUAGACGGCAGUGCAAGUCUGGAGUGAAAGGCGGGGGCUCAACCCCCGGUCUGCUCUGGAAACUGUACGGCUGGAGUGCAGGAGAGGUAAGUGGAAUUCCUAGUGUAGCGGUGAAAUGCGUAGAUAUUAGUAGGAACACCAGUGGCGAAGGCGGCUUACUGGACUGUAACUGACGUUGAGGCUCGAAAGCGUGGGGAGCAAACAGGAUUAGAUACCCCAGUAGUC
RNAcentral lists this ribosomal RNA (440 nucleotides) under uncultured bacterium. RNAcentral describes it as "partial 16S ribosomal RNA". It matches the Rfam family "Bacterial small subunit ribosomal RNA", at positions 338 to 795 of the family's 1533-position model. The record is from RNAcentral.